UACGGAGGGAGCUAGCGUUAUUCGGAAUUACUGGGCGUAAAGCGCACGUAGGCGGCUUUGUAAGUUAGAGGUGAAAGCCUGGAGCUCAACUCCAGAACUGCCUUUAAGACUGCAUCGCUUGAAUCCAGGAGAGGUGAGUGGAAUUCCGAGUGUAGAGGUGAAAUUCGUAGAUAUUCGGAAGAACACCAGUGGCGAAAGCGACUCACUGGACUGGUAUUGACGCUGAGGUGCGAAAGCGUGGGGAGCAAACAGG
This 253-nucleotide ribosomal RNA is filed under the name uncultured bacterium. RNAcentral describes it as "partial 16S ribosomal RNA". It matches the Rfam family "Bacterial small subunit ribosomal RNA", at positions 524 to 776 of the family's 1533-position model. The record is from RNAcentral.